Molecule: ribosomal RNA, 232 nt
Filed under: uncultured bacterium
Lineage: Bacteria
Description: partial 16S ribosomal RNA
Rfam family: Bacterial small subunit ribosomal RNA
Source: RNAcentral
UGAGUAACGCGUGAGUAACCUACCCUAUACACAAGGAUAGCCAUUGGAAACGAUGAUUAAUACUUGAUAAGACUACAGAGUCACAUGGCUCAGUGGUAAAAGCUCCGGCGGUAUAGGAUGGACUCGCGUCUGAUUAGCUAGUUGGUAAGGUAAUGGCUUACCAAGGCGACGAUCAGUAGCCGACCUGAGAGGGUGAUCGGCCACACUGGAACUGAGACACGGUCCAGACUCC